This 465-nucleotide ribosomal RNA is filed under the name Vreelandella stevensii. Its description in RNAcentral is "partial 16S ribosomal RNA". It matches the Rfam family "Bacterial small subunit ribosomal RNA", at positions 338 to 795 of the family's 1533-position model. Lineage: Bacteria; Pseudomonadati; Pseudomonadota; Gammaproteobacteria; Oceanospirillales; Halomonadaceae. The record is from RNAcentral.
CCUACGGGAGGCUGCAGUGGGGAAUAUUGGACAAUGGGGGGAACCCUGAUCCAGCCAUGCCGCGUGUGUGAAGAAGGCCCUCGGGUUGUAAAGCACUUUCAGUGAGGAAGAACGCCUGGUGGUUAAUACCCAUCAGGAAAGACAUCACUCACAGAAGAAGCACCGGCUAACUCCGUGCCAGCAGCCGCGGUAAUACGGAGGGUGCGAGCGUUAAUCGGAAUUACUGGGCGUAAAGCGCGCGUAGGUGGCUUGAUAAGCCGGUUGUGAAAGCCCCGGGCUCAACCUGGGAACGGCAUCCGGAACUGUCAAGCUAGAGUGCAGGAGAGGAAGGUAGAAUUCCCGGUGUAGCGGUGAAAUGCGUAGAGAUCGGGAGGAAUACCAGUGGCGAAGGCGGCCUUCUGGACUGACACUGACACUGAGGUGCGAAAUCGUGGGUAGCAAACAGGAUUAGAUACCCCUGUAGUC